UAAGGAAUAUUGGUUAAUGGACGCAAGUCUGAACCAGCCAUGCCGCGUGAAGGAUGAAGGUCCUCUGGAUUGUAAACUUCUUUUAUCUGGGACGAAAACGGGAUUUUUAUCUCAAUUGACGGUACCAGAGGAAUAAGCACCGGCUAACUCCGUGCCAGCAGCCGCGGUAAUACGGAGGGUGCGAGCGUUAUCCGGAUUUACUGGGUUUAAAGGGUGCGUAGGUGGGCUAAUAAGUCAGUGGUGAAAGCCUGCAGCUUAACUGCAGAAUUGCCAGUGAUACUGCUAGGCUUGAGUACGGUUGAGGUAGGCGGAAUGUGUCAUGUAGCGGUGAAAUGCUUAGAUAUGACACAGAACACCGAUUGCGAAGGCAGCUUGCUAAGCUGUAACUGACGCUGAGGCACGAAAGCGUGG
RNAcentral lists this ribosomal RNA (411 nucleotides) under uncultured bacterium. RNAcentral describes it as "bacterial SSU rRNA". It matches the Rfam family "Bacterial small subunit ribosomal RNA", at positions 355 to 764 of the family's 1533-position model. The record is from RNAcentral.